AUUGCUUCUCGGCCUUUUGGCUAAGAUCAAGUGUUGUAACUCUCACCUUCCAGCUGUGGCUGUCAUCUCACACACUACAUGCUUUGCUUGUUUAUUGCUUAUCACACUGCUCUCUGGAUGUAGGCUACAGAAGAGAGGGUUUCUGUCUGAAUCCCUCCUCCUGUCCUCCCAUACUACAAGAGUACCUAGAAUGCAGUGGACAUUCCCU
Small nuclear RNA from Oryctolagus cuniculus (rabbit), 208 nucleotides. Its record names the gene U2. It matches the Rfam family "U2 spliceosomal RNA". Rfam says of the family: U2 is a small nuclear RNA (snRNA) component of the spliceosome (involved in pre-mRNA splicing). The record is from Ensembl. Lineage: Eukaryota; Metazoa; Chordata; Mammalia; Lagomorpha; Leporidae.